UAGGGAAUCUUCCACAAUGGGCGAAAGCCUGAUGGAGCAACGCCGCGUGUGUGAUGAAGGGUUUCGGCUCGUAAAACACUGUUGUAAGAGAAGAAUGACAUUGAGAGUAACUGUUCAAUGUGUGACGGUGUCUUACCAGAAAGGAACGGCUAAAUACGUGCCAA
RNAcentral lists this ribosomal RNA (164 nucleotides) under uncultured bacterium. RNAcentral describes it as "partial 16S rRNA". It matches the Rfam family "Bacterial small subunit ribosomal RNA", at positions 355 to 511 of the family's 1533-position model. The record is from RNAcentral.